Molecule: ribosomal RNA, 440 nt
Filed under: uncultured bacterium
Lineage: Bacteria
Description: partial 16S ribosomal RNA
Rfam family: Bacterial small subunit ribosomal RNA
Source: RNAcentral
CCUACGGGUGGCAGCAGUGGGGGAUAUUGCACAAUGGGGGAAACCCUGAUGCAGCGACGCCGCGUGGGUGAAGAAGCGCCUCGGCGCGUAAAGCCCUGUCAGCAGGGAAGAAAGUGACGGUGCCUGAAGAAGAAGCCCCGGCUAACUACGUGCCAGCAGCCGCGGUAAUACGUAGGGGGCAAGCGUUAUCCGGAUUUACUGGGUGUAAAGGGGGCGCAGACGGCGAUGCAAGCCAGGAGUGAAAGCCCGGGGCCCAACCCCGGGACUGCUCUGGGAACUGCGUGGCUAGAGUGCAGGAGGGGCAAGCGGAAUUCCUGGUGUAGCGGUGAAAUGCGUAGAUAUCAGGAGGAACACCGGUGGCGAAGGCGGCCUGCUGGACUGCAACUGACGUUGAGGCCCGAAAGCGUGGGGAGCAAACAGGAUUAGAUACCCUUGUAGUC